This is a regulatory RNA element of Treponema pedis str. T A4, 125 nucleotides long. It matches the Rfam family "TD-1 RNA". Rfam says of the family: non coding RNA found in Treponema denticola The record is from Rfam. Lineage: Bacteria; Pseudomonadati; Spirochaetota; Spirochaetia; Treponematales; Treponemataceae.
AUAAACUUUCAGUUUUGCUUAAAAGCAAAACUGAAUUAUUAUUGCCGUUUCUCAUUGCAUUGCGAAACGGCGAAAAUUCAUCAAUACUCGAUUUUUGAUAAAAUCUGCGUUUGAUGAAUUUAUAU